AAAUGCGAUAAGUAGUGUGAAUUGCAGAAUUCAGUGAAUCAUCGAAUCUUUGAACGCACAUUGCGCCCCUCGGUAUGCCGUGGGGCAUGCCUGUUCGAGCGUCAUCUACACCCUCAAGCUCUGCUUGGUGUUGGGCGUCUGUCCCGCCUCCUUCGCGCGCGGACUCGCCCCAAAUCCAUUGGCGGCGGCCCUUGCCUCCCUCUCGCGCAGCACAUUGCGCUUCUCGAGGCGCGGCGGACCGCGUCCAGCAAGCAACCGUCACACCGUCUUUGACCUCGGAUCAGGUAGGGAUACCCACUGAACUUAAGC
RNAcentral lists this unclassified non-coding RNA (309 nucleotides) under plant metagenome. RNAcentral's name for it is "partial contains 5.8S ribosomal RNA, internal transcribed spacer 2, and large subunit ribosomal RNA". The stretch from base 1 to 104 matches the Rfam family "5.8S ribosomal RNA", at positions 51 to 154 of the family's 154-position model. The record is from RNAcentral.